AUCUUUUUAGUAUAAACCCAAUAUAAGUGACUUCCAAUUACUUAAUCUUGGUUAAACUCCAAGAAAAGAUA
This 71-nucleotide transfer RNA is filed under the name Rasbora beauforti. RNAcentral's name for it is "tRNA-Gly". It matches the Rfam family "tRNA". From Rfam's summary of the family: Transfer RNA (tRNA) molecules are approximately 80 nucleotides in length. Their secondary structure includes four short double-helical elements and three loops (D, anti-codon, and T loops). The record is from RNAcentral. Lineage: Eukaryota; Metazoa; Chordata; Actinopteri; Cypriniformes; Danionidae.